GCCAGUGUGGUAUAGUGAUUUGAGCAUUGGACUAUAACUCUAGAGGCUAAGGUUCAAAUCCCAGCUCAGCCA
Phrynosoma platyrhinos (Desert horned lizard) is the source of this 72-nucleotide non-coding RNA. The record is from the annotation of a GenBank genome assembly. Lineage: Eukaryota; Metazoa; Chordata; Lepidosauria; Squamata; Phrynosomatidae.